AUUGAACGCUGGCGGCAUGCCUUACACAUGCGAGUCGAACGGUAACGGGCCUUCGGGUGCCGACGAGUGGCGAACGGGGGAGUAAUACAUCGGAACGUGCCCGAUCGUGGGGGAUAACGAGGCGAAAGCUUUGCUAAUACCGCAUACGAUCUACGGAUGACAGCAGGGGACCGCAAGGCCUUGCGCGGACGGAGCGGCCGAUGGCAGGUUAGGUAGUUGGUGGGGUAAAAGCUUACCAAGCCGACGAUCUGUAGCUGGUCUGAGAGGAUGAUGAGCCACACUGGGACUGGGACACGGACCAGACUCCUACGGGAGGCAGCAGUGGGGAAUUUUGGACAAUGGGCGCAAUCCUGAUCCAGCCAUGCCGCGUGCAGGAUGAAGGCCUUCGGGUUGUAAACUGCUUUUGUACGGAACGAAAAGCCUUCUUUUAAUACAGGAGGGUCAUGACGGUACCGUAAGAAUAAGCACCGGCUAACUACGUG
Molecule: ribosomal RNA, 482 nt
Filed under: uncultured bacterium
Lineage: Bacteria
Description: partial 16S ribosomal RNA
Rfam family: Bacterial small subunit ribosomal RNA
Source: RNAcentral